This 497-nucleotide ribosomal RNA is filed under the name uncultured bacterium. Its description in RNAcentral is "partial 16S ribosomal RNA". It matches the Rfam family "Bacterial small subunit ribosomal RNA", at positions 28 to 507 of the family's 1533-position model. The record is from RNAcentral.
GAUGAACGCUGGCGGCGUGCCUAAUACAUGCAAGUCGAGCGAACAGGCGCGGCGUUUGCUCCUCUGUCGUUAGCCGAGCACGGGUGUAUCACGUGUGGAUCACCUACCUAUCUGUCUGGGAUAAUUUCGGAACUGCGGAGAUAAUACCAGAUAACCUCUUGCACCGCGUGGGUGGAUAGUGAAUGACGGUUUUGCUGUCACUUCUAGAUGGAUCCGCGUCGUAUUAGCUAGUUGGUAAGGUAACGGGCUACGACGGCGACGAUGCGUAGCCGACGUGAGAGGGGGGUCGGCCACACUGGAGCGGAGACAGGGUCCAGGGGCCUACGGGAGGCAGCAGUAGGGAAUGGGCCGCAAUGGGCGAAAGCCUGGCGGAGUGACGGGGCGUGAGAUAAGAAGGUCUUCGGAUCGUAAAACUCUGUUAUGAGGGAAGAACAAAUUUGGAAGGUACCAAGCAGGGCGUGACGGUACCGAAUCAGAAAGCCACGGCUAACUACGUG